CCGGUAGUUGAAAUGGCUUUCCCUCCAGAGUGGAUCCUGAGUACGGCGGAACACGUGAAAUUCCGUCGGAAUCCGGGAGGACCAUCUCCCAAGGCUAAAUACUCCCUAGUGACCGAUAGUGAACCAGUACCGUGAGGGAAAGGUGAAAAGCACCCCGGAAGGGGAGUGAAACAGUUCCUGAAACCGUGUGCCUACAAGUAGUUAGAGCCCGUUAAUGGGUGAUAGCGUGCCUUUUGUAGAAUGAACCGGCGAGUUACGAUUUGUUGCAAGGUUAAGCGGAAAAAGCGGAGCCGUAGCGAAAGCGAGUCUGAAUAGGGCGCAUAAGUAACAGGUCGUAGACCCGAAACCAGGUGAUCUACCCAUGUCCAGGAUGAAGGUAAGGUAAUACUUACUGGAGGUCCGAACCCACGCACGUUGAAAAGUGCGGGGAUGAGGUGUGGGUAGCGGAGAAAUUCCAAUCGAACUUGGAGAUAGCUGGUUCUCUCCGAAAUAGCUUUAGGGCUAGCCUCGAGGUAAAGAGUCAUGGAGGUAGAGCACUGUUUGGACUAGGGGCCCUUCUCGGGUUACCGAAUUCAGAUAAACUCCGAAUGCCAUGUACUUAUACUCGGGAGUCAGACUGCGAGUGAUAAGAUCCGUAGUCGAAAGGGAAACAGCCCAGACCACCAGUUAAGGUCCCCAAAUAUAUGUUAAGUGGAAAAGGAUGUGGGGUUGCUUAGACAACCAGGAUGUUGGCUUAGAAGCAGCCACCAUUGAAAGAGUGCGUAAUAGCUCACUGGUCGAGUGACCCCGCGCCGAAAAUGUACCGGGGCUAAACAUAUUACCGAAACUGUGGAUGAACCUCUUUAGAGGUUCGUGGUAGGAGAGCGUUCUAAGGGCGGUGAAGUCAGACCGGAAGGACUGGUGGAGCGCUUAGAAGUGAGAAUGCCGGUAUGAGUAGCGAAAGAAGGGUGAGAAUCCCUUCCACCGAAUAUCUAAGGUUUCCUGAGGAAGGCUCGUCCGCUCAGGGUUAGUCGGGACCUAAGCCGAGGCCGAUAGGCGUAGGCGAUGGACAACAGGUAGAGAUUCCUGUACCAGUGCUAAUUGUUUAACCGAUGGGGUGACACAGAAGGAUAGGGAAUCGCACGAAUGGAAAUGUGCGUCCAAGCAGUGAGUGUGAGAAGUAGGCAAAUCCGCUUCUUGCGAAGCAUGAGCUGUGAUGGGGAAGGAAAUUAAGUACGGAAGUUCCUGAUUUCACGCUGUCAAGAAAAGCCUCUAGGAAGAGUAGUACUGCCCGUACCGCAAACCGACACAGGUAGAUGAGGAGAGAAUCCUAAGGUGAGCGAGAGAACUCUCGUUAAGGAACUCGGCAAAAUGACCCCGUAACUUCGGGAGAAGGGGUGCUCUAUUAGGGUGCAAGCCCGAGAGAGCCGCAGUGAAUAGGCCCAGGCGACUGUUUAGCAAAAACACAGGUCUCUGCAAAACCGUAAGGUGACGUAUAGGGGCUGACGCCUGCCCGGUGCUGGAAGGUUAAGAGGAGUGCUUAGCUUCGGCGAAGGUACGAAUUGAAGCCCCAGUAAACGGCGGCCGUAACUAUAACGGUCCUAAGGUAGCGAAAUUCCUUGUCGGGUAAGUUCCGACCCGCACGAAAGGCGCAACGAUCUGGGCACUGUCUCAACGAGAGACUCGGUGAAAUUAUAGUACCUGUGAAGAUGCAGGUUACCCGCGACAGGACGGAAAGACCCCGUGGAGCUUUACUGCAACCUGAUAUGGAAUGUUUGUACCGCUUGUACAGGAUAGGUAGGAGCCGAAGAGACGUGUGCGCUAGCAUACGAGGAGGCAAUGGUGGGAUACUACCCUGGCUGUAUGACCAUUCUAACCCGCCACGCUUAGCGCGUGGGGAGACAGUGUCAGGUGGGCAGUUUGACUGGGGCGGUCGCCUCCUAAAGAGUAACGGAGGCGCCCAAAGGUUCCCUCAGAAUGGAUGGAAAUCAUUCGCAGAGUGUAAAGGCACAAGGGAGCUUGACUGCGAGACUGACAAGUCGAGCAGGGACGAAAGUCGGGCUUAGUGAUCCGGUGGUUCCGCAUGGAAGGGCCAUCGCUCAACGGAUAAAAGCUACCCCGGGGAUAACAGGCUUAUCUCCCCCAAGAGUCCACAUCGACGGGGAGGUUUGGCACCUCGAUGUCGGCUCGUCGCAUCCUGGGGCUGUAGUCGGUCCCAAGGGUUGGGCUGUUCGCCCAUUAAAGCGGCACGCGAGCUGGGUUCAGAACGUCGUGAGACAGUUCGGUCCCUAUCCGUCGCGGGCGCAGGAAAUUUGAGAGGAGCUGUCCUUAGUACGAGAGGACCGGGAUGGACACACCGCUGGUGUACCAGUUGUUCCGCCAGGAGCAUCGCUGGGUAGCUAUGUGUGGCAGGGAUAAACGCUGAAAGCAUCUAAGCGUGAAGCCCCCCUCAAGAUGAGAUUUCCCAUUUCUUCGGAAAGUAAGAUCCCUGAAAGAUGAUCAGGUAGAUAGGUUUGGAGUGGAAGUGUAGCGAUACAUGGAGCGGACAAAUACUAAUCGAUCGAGGACUUAACCAAAA
RNAcentral lists this ribosomal RNA (2557 nucleotides) under Listeria monocytogenes. Its description in RNAcentral is "partial 23S ribosomal RNA". It matches the Rfam family "Bacterial large subunit ribosomal RNA", at positions 372 to 2925 of the family's 2925-position model. Lineage: Bacteria; Bacillati; Bacillota; Bacilli; Caryophanales; Listeriaceae. The record is from RNAcentral.